UACAGAGGUCUCAAGCGUUGUUCGGAUUCAUUGGGCGUAAAGGGUGCGUAGGCGGCGGGGCAAGUCGGAUGUGAAAUCUCAGGGCUCAACCUGAACUGCAUUCGAUACUGCUCUGCUCGAGGACUGGAGAGGAGAUUGGAAUUCACGGUGUAGCAGUGAAAUGCGUAGAUAUCGUGAGGAAGACCAGUGGCGAAGGCGGAUCUCUGGACAGCUCCUGACGCUGAGGCACGAAGGCCAGGGGAGCAAACGGG
Molecule: ribosomal RNA, 251 nt
Filed under: uncultured bacterium
Lineage: Bacteria
Description: partial 16S ribosomal RNA
Rfam family: Bacterial small subunit ribosomal RNA
Source: RNAcentral